GAUGAACGCUGGCGGCGUGCUUAAUACAUGCAAGUCGAGCGAACAGACGAGGAGCUUGCUCCUCUGACGUUAGCCGCGGACGGGUGAGUAACACGUGGAUCAUCUACCUAUAAGACUGGGAUAACUUCGGGAAACGGGCGCAUACAGCGGAUAAUCUAUUGAACCGCAUGGUGCAAUGGUAAAAGACGGCUUUUCUGUCACUACUAGCUGGAUCCGCGCCGCAUUAGCUGGUUGGGAAGGUAACGGCUUACCAAGGCGACGAUGCGUAUCCGAGCUGUGAGGGUGAUCGGCCGCACUGGAACUGGGACACGGUCCAGACUACUACGGGAGGCAGCAGUAGGGAAUCGUCCGCAAUGGUCGGAAGCCUGACGGAGCAACGCCGCGUGUGUGAUGAAGGUCUUCGGUUCGUAAAGCUCUGUUAUUGGGGAAAAACAAAUGUGUAAGGUGCUAUGCACUUCUUGACGGUACCUAAUCAGGAAGCCACGGCUAACUACGUG
RNAcentral lists this ribosomal RNA (497 nucleotides) under uncultured bacterium. RNAcentral's name for it is "partial 16S ribosomal RNA". It matches the Rfam family "Bacterial small subunit ribosomal RNA", at positions 28 to 507 of the family's 1533-position model. The record is from RNAcentral.